AUGUGAAUGGCAUCAUUCGACAUUGAAAACUCCGGUGGAUAGAGAUGGGCACGCGCAAGAUUAGAUAGUUGGUGAGGUAACGGUCACAAGUCUACGGAUCUUUAAGGGGCCUGGANAAGGUGAUUCCCCAAAAUGGUACUGAAGAACACGGAACAAGACUCCUUACGGGGAAGCCAGCAGUGAGGAAUAUUUGGGACCAUGGGUGAAAGCCUGAUNCAGCAUUCCGGGGUGGAAGGANGAAUUGGCCUUAUUGGGUUUGGUAAACUUCCUUUUGGUAUAGGGGAUUAAACUUAACCUCGGUUGGAAGGGUUAACUUGAAGGGGUUACUUAUUACGGAAUUUAAGCCACCGGGUUAAAUUCCGGUUGGCCGGGAAGGCCCGGCGGGUAAUAACGACAGGUGGCAAGGCGGUUAAUCCGGGAUUUUAAUUGGGGGGUUUUAAAAGGGGGUCCCGGUAAGGCGGGAUUCUGGAAAUUCCAAGUGGGUGGAAAUUCUUCCACAGUUUAAACUUGGUGGAAAACUUGGCCAAUUUGGAUAACUUGGAGGGUUCUUGGAAUUGUUGUGAAAGUUAAAUUGGGAAUUAAGUUUUAAUGGUUAACGGG
This 600-nucleotide ribosomal RNA is filed under the name uncultured bacterium. RNAcentral's name for it is "partial 16S ribosomal RNA". The stretch from base 1 to 371 matches the Rfam family "Bacterial small subunit ribosomal RNA", at positions 179 to 538 of the family's 1533-position model. The record is from RNAcentral.